Long non-coding RNA from Suricata suricatta (meerkat), 667 nucleotides. RefSeq lists it as uncharacterized. The transcript is spliced from 3 exons. Lineage: Eukaryota; Metazoa; Chordata; Mammalia; Carnivora; Herpestidae. The record is from RefSeq and is a predicted model, not a curated record.
AGGCGGAACAGCCUUCUUAAUCAGGUCCUGCUACGUAUGAUGAUGACUAAGCUCCAAGUGUAGCAGACAAAACUGGUUUGAGAAUUUUAAAGCUCUCACCAUGCAGCUUCUGGAACAUCAGUGGCAACUAUAGUAAAACAACAGAAACAGUAUUUCAUUUUCUUUUUAAAAUAAAUAUAAGGGAAACCAAGUAUUUAAUAUACAGAUGUGAAAGGCAAAUACUGGAUGUAGACAAUGCCUCUUUUCAAUUCUAAUGUAGAAAAAUGGGAGAAACAUACUACUACCUGAGGUGAUUCCUCUAGACUAAGAUAUUCUCCUGAAGUAGCUAUGUUUGCUGCAGUGCCACUAACGAAAAAUGUGCUAUCAAUUAGAAGCAAUUCCACAGGACUAAGAGCAAAAACAUCAGAGGAAGAAAAAGAAAGAGCAAAAGCUCUCAAGAAAGAAAAAAGAAAUCAAUUCAAGCUAUACUGACAGCUGCAAAGUUACUGCAGCGCAAAAGAAAAAGGACCUGGAAAUUCUUCAGAAAUGAUGAGCCAGAAAAUAAAUGGAAAAAACACAGAAUGGUUUUCCAACAUUCAACCUCACAAACAUAAAAUGUUUCAGUUCUCAACAUGGCUGUCUGAUUACUCAAUUAAUGUAUCAUAAGAUUAAAAAUAUGAAAACACCA